This 254-nucleotide long non-coding RNA is filed under the name Trifolium pratense (red clover). Its description in RNAcentral is "long non-coding RNA (TPRA_LNC010120)". Lineage: Eukaryota; Viridiplantae; Streptophyta; Magnoliopsida; Fabales; Fabaceae. The record is from RNAcentral.
CCGCCACAGGUAGGUCGACAUCAAGUUGUGGAUAGCCAGACUUGCACAAGACAAUUUUUUUUAUCCUAGUUGGAGUCUCUUCACCUCCCUUUUCGGACACAACUUCCUCAUCCUCAGAACUCGAGUCAUCAGUAGAUGAGUUGUUGCGGUUGUUGUCGCCGUUUAUGUUGUUGUUAUUGUUUCUAUUGUUGUUGUAGUUUCGGUUGUUGUUAGCGACGUCGUCCCCCUUAGUCGUCAAUGCCGUCAACUUAUCC